AAACCGGUGUUUCUCAACACCACCAAUAGUCAGCGGCGCUAUUAU
Chlamydomonas reinhardtii is the source of this 45-nucleotide non-coding RNA. The record is from Rfam. Lineage: Eukaryota; Viridiplantae; Chlorophyta; Chlorophyceae; Chlamydomonadales; Chlamydomonadaceae.